CGCUGAGUUUGAUCCUGGCUCAGGAUGAACGCUAGCGGCAGGCUUAACACAUGCAAGUCGAGGGGUAUAGUUCUUCGGAACUAGAGACCGGCGCACGGGUGCGUAACGCGUAUGUAAUCUACCUUUUACAGAGGGAUAGCCCAGAGAAAUUUGGAUUAAUACCUCAUAGUAUGUGAGAAUCGCAUGGUUUUCACAUUAAAGUUCCAACGGUAAAAGAUGAGUAUGCGUCCCAUUAGCUAGAUGGUAAGGUAACGGCUUACCAUGGCAACGAUGGGUAGGGGUCCUGAGAGGGAGAUCCCCCGACACUGGUACUGAGACACGGACCAGACUCCGUACGGGAGGCAGCAGUGAGGAAUAUUGGACAAU
RNAcentral lists this ribosomal RNA (366 nucleotides) under uncultured Flavobacterium sp. RNAcentral's name for it is "bacterial SSU rRNA". It matches the Rfam family "Bacterial small subunit ribosomal RNA", at positions 1 to 372 of the family's 1533-position model. The record is from RNAcentral. Lineage: Bacteria; Pseudomonadati; Bacteroidota; Flavobacteriia; Flavobacteriales; Flavobacteriaceae.